CCGGCUGCCCUAGCAAAAUGACGGAGCCAAGCCGUGGAGAGUCGCGCGCUAUCGCGCGUCUGGCAUACAGGACGCCUGGGAGCCAAACCUCGUGCCCGGCAAUCUAGACCUGGAGUACCGGGGAGCACCUGUGCCUCAAUCCAGACAUUCCACCCUUCUCCCACGCAUUUUACCCAGCGCGGAGAAGGAGAGAAAACUGCCCCCGGGCUGCGGGAACCAGCGACCGUAGAGCCUGCGAGGUGGGGUCGUUCGGGCCUUAAGCAGAAGCCACUCUUGAGAAUUUAACUAAAAUGAGAAGCGUCGAAAUAAACUGACGUAUUCCCAAGUGCGUUUGUUGUUUCAGCAAAUAGUUCCUGAGCACUAACGGUCCGGGGAUUGCCAGCCUGGAAAGUUACACCCUAUUUGGAAUGUGUAUUUUACGCAGAAAAUUAAAAUCAUCAGAUGAUUCGUUCACUUAGAAAUAAAUAGGUCCCGAGCACUACUCUAGGAGCUGGGACAAAGGGUGGGGGUGGGGGGCAAGAUCCGGACACAGAGGCCGAUGCUGUGCAAGUUGGCCGGUGUGGCUGGAGCCAAAUGAGUUAAGAGGGUAGGUUGUAGGGAACGGGACAAGGGGAGGUAAAUGAUGUAAAGCCCGAUUCCCCAUUGUAAGGACUUUUACUUUCAGUGAAAGAGGAGUCUCUCAGUGAAAUGGGAGUCGUUUUGAGCAGAAGGGUAAUUGGGUAAUCUACAUAGAGUCAUUGGAGGUACUACUUUGUAGUGGAAGAUGGACGGCCAGUGAGUGAGGAAGCUACUCUUGUAAACUAGGCUAGCGAGAUGCUAGUGGCUAAGACCAGGGUGGUAGCAAUGCAAAGGAAGUGUGAGGCGUAGAAGAUUCUGGAUUGUGAUCUGAAAGUAAGCUAACGGUUUUUUCUGAAGGAUAAGAUGGGGGG
This is a long non-coding RNA of Lutra lutra (Eurasian river otter), 929 nucleotides long. RefSeq lists it as uncharacterized. The transcript has 2 exons. Lineage: Eukaryota; Metazoa; Chordata; Mammalia; Carnivora; Mustelidae. The record is from RefSeq and is a predicted model, not a curated record.